This 1202-nucleotide long non-coding RNA is filed under the name Homo sapiens (human). RNAcentral's name for it is "HSALNT0344101". Lineage: Eukaryota; Metazoa; Chordata; Mammalia; Primates; Hominidae. The record is from RNAcentral.
AGUGCUAGCAUAGAAUCUAACAAGAAAUGGCCCUGCAUCCAUUCUCUUUUCUUCUAAUAACAGCCCCAGAUUUCCAUUUUUGGACCUACCUUUUCCUUUUUAUCAGGCUAAGUGUUCAUGGUGGGGCUCUGUCCUUAGUUCCAGGGAUAAAGCCUGUGACCCAAACUUAAACCGCAGAUCAUUUUCCCCAGGCCAUGGAGAUUGUUUCAAAUGUGGGCACAUGGCCUGAAUGGGUCAUAUCAGAGUAAAUCUUAGGGCUUCUGGGUUAUGCCACCAUCACAGGCUCUUGCUUUCCUCACUGAACUUGAACCUAGACGGAUGUAAGCUGGAGCUGUGGCAGCCAUCAUUGCCCUGUGAAAAGUCCACUUGGAGCUGCCAAAGACCACCCCAGGAGCUUCAGAAUGAAGACAACCUGGAAGUCAGAGCUGACAGAAAUAAGGUGAAGUUAGCUUGAGGAAAGAGCUGUAAGGAAGAGUGAAGUCAGCUGAGUCAAGGACACAAGCGGAAAAUGUGCAAAGAUGAGCCAGAAGCAUGGAAAAGUACCUCCAAGACAGAGGAGAACUGAUCCAAGAGAAAGGAGAUGGGAGUGGGCAUCACGUACAGCCAGAGGGCGCCACCUGCCGGAUCCAUCGAAUGACCUGGUUCACAAGAGAAGCCAGAGUGCAGUCAGGACAAGGCAAACAGCCCUUUACUGGAAGAAUUGGGCAAUCUAUCUGGUGAGAGGUAAGUUUAAAUAGGGCAGUGACACUGCACAACAAAGUCCCAUUUUUUGGACUUUAUGGGGGUUGAAAACCCUGCCUGACAGACUCAGAGUCCUUAACCAGACUGCCCCAGCGGGGAGAAGGGUACCAGGAGGGUUUCCACGAGGGCAGAGGCAGCAGGUGUCUGACUACCUACUCCAUUUGCAAGGACGAAUGGAAAGCCAGGGCUCACCACACAGGUGAACAGUAGAAGACUGCAUGAGCCGAUGGAAAAACAGACCCUAAGAGCAGCAGAAGAGGAGAAAGUCCAAAUAACAUCUUCAGUGAGAUUAAGACUAUAGUUUAUGGCAGUCUCGUGCAUCUAUCAACAAUAAGAACAUGCUAUAUAGAGAGACAAUUAGAAGACAAGAGUUACCUAGAGAUUGAAAAUAUAAUUGCUGAAGUUAAAAAACCCUUUAUUGGCCGGGCGCAGUGGCUCACACCUGUAAUCCUAGCACUUUG